UUUAUUUGACACCGUUGACUUUUUAAGCACAUGUUUGACCGCUCGUCUUAUUUAAAAAAUUUAAAUAAUUAUUAAUUAUUUUCCUAUAAUUUGAUUCAUUGUUAAAUAUACUUUUUGCAUACGUAUAGUUUUACAUAUUUCACAAAAAUUUUUGAAUAAGACGAAUGGUCAAACAUGUGCUAAAAAGUCAACGGUGUCAAAUAAA
Molecule: microRNA precursor, 205 nt
Filed under: Oryza glumipatula
Lineage: Eukaryota; Viridiplantae; Streptophyta; Magnoliopsida; Poales; Poaceae
Description: MIR812 microRNA precursor family
Rfam family: MIR812 microRNA precursor family
Source: Rfam by way of RNAcentral